This 446-nucleotide ribosomal RNA is filed under the name uncultured bacterium. RNAcentral's name for it is "bacterial SSU rRNA". It matches the Rfam family "Bacterial small subunit ribosomal RNA", at positions 774 to 1205 of the family's 1533-position model. The record is from RNAcentral.
AGAGAAUAGAUACCCGGGUAGUCCACGCCCUAAACGAUGUCGACUGGUUGUUGGGGUUUGUACACUCUCAGUAAAACGAAAAGACUAAACGCGUGAAGUCGACCGCCUGGGGAGUACGGCCGCAAGGUUAAACUACAAGGAAUUGACGGGACCCGCACAAGCGGUGGAUUAUGUGGACUAAUUACGAUGCAACGCGAAAAACCUUAACCUUACCCUUGACAUGUCCGGGUAGGCCUGCUGAGAGGCGGGUGUGCUCGAAAGAGAACCGGAACACAGGUGCUGCAUGGCUGUCGUCAGCUCGUGUCGUGAGAUGUUGGGUUAACGUCCCGCAACGAGCGCAACCCUUGCCAUUAGUUGCCACCCGGUAACGGGGGUCACUCUAAUGGGACUGCCGGUGACAAACCGGAGGAAGGUGGGGAUGACGUCAAGUCCUCAUGGCCCGUUAU